GAUGAACGCUGGCGGCGUGCCUAAUACAUGCAAGUCGAGCGAACAGAUGAGGAGCUUGCUCCUCUGACGUUAGCGGCGGACGGGUGAGUAACACGUGGAUAACCUACCUAUAAGACUGGGAUAACUUCGGGAAACCGGAGCUAAUACCGGAUAAUAUAUUGAACCGCAUGGUUCAAUAGUGAAAGACGGUUUUGCUGUCACUUAUAGAUGGAUCCGCGCCGCAUUAGCUAGUUGGUAAGGUAACGGCUUACCAAGGCAACGAUGCCUAGCCGAACUGAGAGGGUGAUCGGCCAAACUGGAACUGAGACACGGUCCAGACUCCUACGGGAGGCAGCAGUAGGGAAUCUUCCGCAAUAGGCGAAAGCCUGACGGAGCAACGCCGCGUGAGUGAUGAAGGUCUUCGGAUCGUAAAACUCUGUUAUUAGGGAAGAACAAAUGUGUAAGUAACUAUGCACGUCUUGACGGUACCUAAUCAGAAAGCCACGGCUAACUACGUG
Molecule: ribosomal RNA, 497 nt
Filed under: uncultured bacterium
Lineage: Bacteria
Description: partial 16S ribosomal RNA
Rfam family: Bacterial small subunit ribosomal RNA
Source: RNAcentral